Molecule: ribosomal RNA, 332 nt
Filed under: uncultured bacterium
Lineage: Bacteria
Description: bacterial SSU rRNA
Rfam family: Bacterial small subunit ribosomal RNA
Source: RNAcentral
GAUGAACGCUGGCGGCGUGCUUAACACAUGCAAGUCGAACGGUCGUAGCAAUACGAUAGUGGCGCACGGGUGAGGAACACGUAGCUAACCUGCCCCCAAGUACGGGAUAACUUCCCGAAAGGGAUGCUAAUACCGUAUAAGCUCACGCCGAGUAGGUAGGUGUGAGAAAAGGUUUACUGCUUGGGGAGGGGGCUGCGGCCCAUCAGGUAGUUGGUGAGGUAACGGCUCACCAAGCCGACGACGGGUAGGGGGUCUGAGAGGAUGGCCCCCACACUGGGACUGAGACACGGCCCAGACUCCUACGGAGGCAGCAGUGAGGGAUAUUGCGCAAU